Long non-coding RNA from Talpa occidentalis (Iberian mole), 404 nucleotides. RefSeq lists it as uncharacterized. Lineage: Eukaryota; Metazoa; Chordata; Mammalia; Eulipotyphla; Talpidae. The transcript has 3 exons. The record is from RefSeq and is a predicted model, not a curated record.
GACCUGGAGGGCGGCCGGGGGGCGUGGCUUGCGAGUGUUUUGGUUGUAAAGGAGCCGAGGCGCUUGUACUACCGCUAGCCCCGCGCAGGUCCCCGCCGCGCCGCCCGGCAGGAGCUGCAUCAUCUUGAGCAAAUGACUUGAUCUUUUAAAGCAUCAGUUCCCUCAUGUCCACCAUUGAGAUCACGCUACUACCUGCCCCUAGGAUGGGUCAAUUUCACUGUGAUCGUUUUCUGGAAAAUUUUAUUUACCACGAUUCAUAGCAUGCACAAGUGCUCAAUUGUGAGCUUCCUGAGGACGGAGCCUACAUCUGCCUGCACGUUUGAGUCCCUUUUUAGUGUGCUGCCAGACACAGUGGGAGCUUAAGAAGUCUUUAAAAUCAACAAAAAACUACGAACCAGAGACAC